Molecule: ribosomal RNA, 253 nt
Filed under: uncultured bacterium
Lineage: Bacteria
Description: partial 16S ribosomal RNA
Rfam family: Bacterial small subunit ribosomal RNA
Source: RNAcentral
UACGUAAGGUGCAAGCGUUGUCCGGAAUUAUUGGGCGUAAAGCGCACGUAGGCGGCUUAGCAAGUCGGAUGUGAAAGCCCUCGGCUCAACCAAGGAAGUGCAUCCGAAACUGCUGAGCUUGAGUACUUAAGAGGAUCGCGGAAUUCCCGGUGUAGAGGUGAAAUUCGUAGAUAUCGGGAGGAACACCAGUGGCGAAGGCGGCGAUCUGGGAAGAUACUGACGCUGAGGUGCGAAAGCGUGGGGAGUAAACAGG